Molecule: long non-coding RNA, 2049 nt
Organism: Oreochromis niloticus (Nile tilapia)
Lineage: Eukaryota; Metazoa; Chordata; Actinopteri; Cichliformes; Cichlidae
Exons: 3
Source: RefSeq, a predicted model, not a curated record
GCAACUGAGCAAUGCUGUCAUGUCAGUAUGGACCAGAAUCUACUAAUCUGAACAUCAAUUUUGUCUGUUCUAGACAUGAUUUGAACUCAAGCUCCUCUUAGUGACAGUUGGGAAUGCUGUGGCAGCUCAUUAAUCACCAGGACAGCCUGGAGGAGCUGCACUUAAUCCCAUGAUGGUAUCCUCACCAUCCUCCACCGCUGCGGUUGCUCAUAAAAGUCAGUUCAAGGCAAGAAUAUUGGCAUUCAAAUUUGUGACUGCUGCUGUGAACAGAUGUCACCUCUGGCGAGUAAGGGUAAUGGCACCAGCAGUAAGGCAGGCCCACCCUGGCUCCUGGGGCUAAACAACAUACCACCACUGGGCUUCAGAGGGGGCAGAGGCAGGAGGGACAGCUUCAACAAGUGAACGUUUCACAAGCAUGCUCUCCGCAGUCCUUUUCCCUUCCCUGCAAUUAUCAUCAAAGAACAUCUGUUUGUUGUUCCUCAGGCACCCUCCCCUCACAAGUGUCCUAGCCUCACCUUGACCCAUACUUUCAAUUGUAGUGGAUGUUAUGACUAAAAAUAAACAGUGUGAAGGAGUGAGGCUACCCUUUGUGUUAGCAGGGCGUUCUCCCUCGCUGCUGCUGAGAGGAAGGAUAUCCCCCAACGAACGCAGCCACUUCCUCAAUCUCCUCAUAACCCUUGACAGGUACAUGGACACCAACCACAGCAUCUGUGGUGGAUCAGAUGCGAAGCUGAGUUGCCAGACUCGCUUUGUAUCCGGGCUUUUAAGUUGAUCCCACUGUCAUUUUGCUGCUGUCACAGUCUGAAUGACCUGUCAAAGAAAAGUUCAGUAGUUCCUGGCAAGCAAUCUGAUACACACAGGGGCUGUGGUUUUGCCCACAAGGCUUUAUAUAGAUGAGAAGAAAAAAACACCCAGAAAAGGUGCAUAAUUCAAAUAUUACAUUUGUUACAUCGGCUUCUAACAAGUGUGCACUCAUUGUAGAGGCUGUAAUUCGUCCAGUUCUCGUCGGUCACUCAGUCAAUUAGCAGAGUUGUGUGAAAUAUGGCGCUCCUUUGCUACAGGGAACAUCCAAAGUGCAGCAUGAUUAACAGAAUCUGAUGUGCACUGUGAGCGUGUACAUACAAGAGAGCAAAUAAAGCAUCCUUUUUAAAAGAUCGGAGACUAAGAAUUAGGCAAUUUGCAUAUUUUUUGUCUUCAAUAUUUAAAAGAGCAGAUUUCUAUUUUAUAAACUGUGCUGAAGGGGUUGUUGAACCUGUAAUGUAAUUUUCGCAUGAAAUUAGGUAUACUAGAAGAUGUCUGCAGUGGUUUCCUCUUGCUCCCUGAGGAUAUGUCUGUUGAUUUAUGUGCUCUCCCUACCUAAUAGCCAUACCUGGCACUGUGUAACAAUGAAUACUAUACUGCAGCUCAAACCAACAAAGUUUAAUCUUGCAGUUUUGCCAGAAAAAAACCUCUUAAUUCCUAAUUUGAAAGACUAAGAGCCCUCCAAGAUAUUUGUGCUGUGUACAGUGCAGCUGAUACACCCAAAGGGGCUUUAGACAUCUAAAAAGACUUUUUGUAAUGAAUGAAGAUAAUACAUAAGUGUGUCCUGAGGGAGGGCGCCAGCUGCGAGCCGCACAAAUCACAGAUAACCUCUGAGCCACAUGUGACGACUUUUCUUCCAGGAAAGCCGGGGAAUCGUUGAAUGACACUGCAUACCUCCGUGAUUAUCUGUCCCCAGUUAUAAUUACCGUGGAUCAGUUUACGACCCAUUAAAAUGCUCGCGUGUUAGCGUCCCUGAUUUCUGUCACAAGGCUUUUGCGAGCAAGACUUUGUUUAGUAUUUCAACAACAUGCUACGCAGCUAAGGUGGAGUCAGUGACAGGAUUACAGAUGACUGUAAUUAAAUAAUGCGUAAGACUAUUGUGCUUUGUGCCAUACUUUUGGAAACUGGACAAACUCCAAACCAUCUGUGUUUAUUGAACGUCAGUGUGUUGCUAAUGUGUAAAAACAAAUACAGAUAUCCUGAACAUUAGAUAUGCUUGUGUUAUAGCUCUUUGUUUGGAAAUCCCAG